This 377-nucleotide ribosomal RNA is filed under the name uncultured organism. RNAcentral describes it as "partial 16S ribosomal RNA". It matches the Rfam family "Bacterial small subunit ribosomal RNA", at positions 526 to 896 of the family's 1533-position model. The record is from RNAcentral.
CGGGGGGGGCGGGCGUUUAUUUCGGAAUUAUUGGGCGUAAAGGGCGCGUAGGUGGUCAUGCAAGUCAAACGUGAAAGCCUUUGGCUUAACCAGAGAAUUGCGUUUGAAACUGCAUGACUUGAGUUCGGGAGAGGAAAGUGGAAUUCCCAGUGUAGCGGUGAAAUGCGUAGAUAUUGGGAGGAACACCGGUGGCGAAGGCGACUUUCUGGACCGACACUGACACUGAGGCGCGAAAGCUAGGGGAGCAAACGGGAUUAGAUACCCCGGUAGUCCUAGCUGUAAACGAUGGGCACUUGGUGUAGGGGGUAUCGACCCCCUCCUGUGCCCGAAGCUAACGCAUCAAGUGCCCCCGCCUGGGGAGUACGGUCGCAAGGCUG